Molecule: ribosomal RNA, 374 nt
Filed under: uncultured organism
Description: partial 16S ribosomal RNA
Rfam family: Bacterial small subunit ribosomal RNA
Source: RNAcentral
GUAGGUGGCAAGCGUUGUCCGGAAUUAUUGGGCGUAAAGCGCGCGCAGGCGGGUUCCUUAAGUCUGAUGUGAAAGCCCACGGGCUCAACCGUGGAGGGUCAUUGGAAACUGGAGAACUUGAGUACAGAAGAGGAAAGCGGAAUUCCACGUGUAGCGGUGAAAUGCGUAGAGAUGUGGAGGAACACCAGUGGCGAAGGCGGCUUUCUGGUCUGUAACUAACGCUGAGGCGCGAAAGCGUGGGGAGCAAACAGGAUUAGAUACCUUGGUAGUCCACGCCGUAAACGAUGAGUGCUAAGUGUUAGGGGGUUUCCGCCCCUUAGUGCUGCAGCUAACGCAUUAAGCACUCCGCCUGGGGAGUACGGCCGCAAAGGCUG